This is a long non-coding RNA of Ahaetulla prasina, 1098 nucleotides long. RefSeq lists it as uncharacterized. The record is from RefSeq and is a predicted model, not a curated record. The transcript has 4 exons. Lineage: Eukaryota; Metazoa; Chordata; Lepidosauria; Squamata; Colubridae.
CAUCAUAUCAUUGCGACGUCAGCUCUGCCCCCCACAUUAAUAGUUAAUUUUGAUUGCACUUCAUCAAUUUCUUUUUACAGGAGGUCUCAAAAGAAACUGAGAAAAAGAAAGAACUGAUGAUAUCUGCUUCCCCAAGAUGUCUCUGCCAGAGAAAAGUCCAGAGAAAUACCUGAUUGCAUACAAAAGAUAAAUGUAUCUAGGUGUCAAGUGCAACCAUGUCCCUUUGUAUCACAAUCAAGAAAAUGACGAUUCCCAACCACGGAUCGUAGUGAGAUGGAUGAAUUCAAAGACACCUGUACUCCUUUUUGGGACUCCCUCCAUUUAUGGCUUAAUCCAACCAGGACUGGCUGAAUUGCUGUGGCUAAGAGAUGCAGUUGUGCGGCAUCACCUUUUAUACCUCUUCAUUUUAUACCUCUUCAUUUAGUGACAACAGUGGCAAUUCGUUCAAAUAUAAUACCAUUUGAAGUGGUUACAUGAUAACUACCUUUAUUGUGAAAAUUCUCCUUCACCACCAAAUAAGCUCCUGAAGAAAUUGCUUUUGGAAUACCCCCUCUUUUUUUUUUUUGGGAAGUCAAAGUGAGGAAAAGGCUUCCAGCAAUUUAAAUGUGAUGCAUGUGGUUGUGCCCUGCAAGUUUCUUUCCUGAGUACCUGGGAUGUUAAGAAAGAAAAAUUCAAGAACGUCCAUGGAGAAGGCAUCAAGCGUGAUUUGGCCAACAGCCUUGCCAGCCAAGUUAAUAUGUUCCAUCUGGCCAGAUGUCCAACCCCCUCCUCACCAGCCAAGCCAAGAUAAACAGUGUCUCUACCAUAAAAAAAUAUGGUGAGAGGUAAUUAAAAUAGACCCAUACCAGUUUAAUCAUUGCCCAGGUUACAGGAACUAUGCUAGGUUUUGGAGUUCCUGGAAAUUUGGCAUUUGGAAAAUAUUCAGGAUUCAUGGCUGCUGCCUGAGUAACCGGGGCCAGCACCCUUGGCAGAAGUAAUUCAAAUUGCAAAGGCAAACCAGGGGGAUUUGGCAGUAGAAGAAGCCAGCACAGCUAUUGAAUUGUUUAUAUUCAGAAACCAGGACCCUAUUCUUUGCCUCAGAAACAACAAAGCUCUCUA